CCUACGGGGGGCACCAGUGGGGAAUAUUGCACAAUGGGCGCAAGCCUGAUGCAGCCAUGCCGCGUGUAUGAAGAAGGCCUUCGGGUUGUAAAGUACUUUCAGUCGGGAGGAAGGUGGUGAGCUUAAUACGCUCAUCAAUUGACGUUACCGACAGAAGAAGCACCGGCUAACUCCGUGCCAGCAGCCGCGGUAAUACGGAGGGUGCAAGCGUUAAUCGGAAUUACUGGGCGUAAAGCGCACGCAGGCGGUUGAUUAAGUUAGAUGUGAAAUCCCCGGGCUUAACCUGGGAAUGGCAUCUAAGACUGGUCAGCUAGAGUCUUGUAGAGGGGGGUAGAAUUCCAUGUGUAGCGGUGAAAUGCGUAGAGAUGUGGAGGAAUACCGGUGGCGAAGGCGGCCCCCUGGACAAAGACUGACGCUCAGGUGCGAAAGCGUGGGGAGCAAACAGGAUUAGAUACCCUUGUAGUC
Molecule: ribosomal RNA, 465 nt
Filed under: uncultured bacterium
Lineage: Bacteria
Description: bacterial SSU rRNA
Rfam family: Bacterial small subunit ribosomal RNA
Source: RNAcentral